GGACUACACGGGUUUCUAAUCCUGUUCGCUCCCCAUGCUUUCGCUCCUCAGCGUCAGUUACGGCCCAGAGAUCUGCCUUCGCCAUUGGUGUUCCUCCUGAUAUCUGCGCAUUCCACCGCUACACCAGGAAUUCCAAUCUCCCCUACCGCACUCUAGUCUGCCCGUACCCACUGCAGGCUGGAGGUUGAGCCUCCAGUUUUCACAGCAGACGCGACAAACCGCCUACGAGCUCUUUACGCCCAAUAAUUCCGGACAACGCUUGCACCCUACGUAUUACCGCGGCGGCUGGCACCG
This 294-nucleotide unclassified non-coding RNA is filed under the name uncultured fungus. RNAcentral's name for it is "sequence contains ITS1". The record is from RNAcentral. Lineage: Eukaryota; Fungi.